GGCCAUUCCAGUCACCUCGCCCAGUAACAUCUACCUCAACCACUGCACCUUGAUCCCUCUUGUUUCUAUCCCCACCUGUGCAUUUGUGUUCAUGAGAUCUCAUGUAUCCUUGUCCAGCGUUUGACAUGGUGCGUAGAAUCAUUCUCCUGUUUCUACUUCUGUAGUGUUAGACUCUGGAUCAAAAUUCAAGUUAUCACUGCACUAACCUCUAUCUGUUGCAUAAAGAAAGCCCUCUGAUGAGGAAUGAAAGUUGAACUAAAAUACAGGUAUGUGG
Long non-coding RNA from Rattus norvegicus (Norway rat), 274 nucleotides. RefSeq lists it as uncharacterized. NCBI's taxonomy places the organism in Eukaryota, Metazoa, Chordata, Mammalia, Rodentia, Muridae. The record is from RefSeq and is a predicted model, not a curated record.